GCCCAGAUGGUGGAAUUGGUAGACACGUUGGACUUAAAAUCCAAUGGACAGUAAUGUCCGUGCGGGUUCAAGUCCCGCUCUGGGUACAA
This 89-nucleotide transfer RNA is filed under the name Flavobacteriales bacterium TMED123. RNAcentral's name for it is "tRNA-Leu". It matches the Rfam family "tRNA". From Rfam's summary of the family: Transfer RNA (tRNA) molecules are approximately 80 nucleotides in length. The record is from RNAcentral. Lineage: Bacteria; Pseudomonadati; Bacteroidota; Flavobacteriia; Flavobacteriales.